CCAUGUUCACAAGGGUGAAAGCUGCAUUGACACCCUGCUAAGGCCACCAAGACUUGAGGAUCUAAGGACAGAAGAAGAGCAUGCUUUUUCAUUCUCUCCCUCACAUACACUAGCUAUUCAUUAGGAAGAAAAAGAAAUGGGGGAUGCCUUGUUCCCCUCUUUCUAGGCUGUAUAGGAACCAGAAGCAUAACUAUGGCGCCAUUAGGAAUCUCACAAACAUGGUGGAAAGCAAAGGGGAAGCAGGCACAUCUUUCAUGGCUGGAGCAGGAGGAAGAGAACAAGGCUACUUAACAUGAAAAGCACAUGGAUGAAGACCUUUAUGUUGAUACGUUUCCACUUAAUGAAUAGUAAGUAUAUUUUGUCUUCCCUAAAAUUUUCUUAAUAACAUUUUCUAUUCUCUAGAUUAUUAUAAGAA
Molecule: long non-coding RNA, 415 nt
Filed under: Callithrix jacchus (white-tufted-ear marmoset)
Lineage: Eukaryota; Metazoa; Chordata; Mammalia; Primates; Cebidae
Description: lncRNA (ENSCJAG00000075846.1)
Source: RNAcentral